AGAUUUUGGCGCUGUACAACUUGAGGCAAAGCAUUAGGUCAUUACUCUAGCUUCAGGAAUUGUUUCUAUUUGUGAAGUACUCACUCUUUGCUCUGAGGUGAUUUUUAAUUUCUAGAAUGGCAUGUAUUAAUUUAAAGCUCAAAGCCCCACCCUUAACAAUGAUAGCUGCAACUAAAAGACGGGGUGAUUUUUAACAACUUUAACUAGAAGUAGCUGUAGCAAUUACUCCUUGUUUAGUCAAUAGCACAGUUGGUAGUAAAAUUGUCAACGAUUUAACAACCCACCAGUACCUCUUCUAAGCUGCCCCAGAGGCAGACGCAGCCAAUGCUAUCAGUUUAGAUCUUCCAUCUAAACCUAAGAUCUAACCCCAAUCCUGGGGUUAGAACACGGCAUGUGUUUGCAUCUGGCAGAGGAGACAAGGCAAAGGCUCAUGUAAAUGAAGACUGUGUGUUCUUUCAAGGAAGGCUGAGUUUACAAACAGAAUCCUUAAGACAAACAGGCCUGCUGGAGCCAUUGUGGGUGGGUGCCUGUGAAUUCCAGCUGAAGAGCAUGUUGGCCCCUGAGAGCACCAGGAAGCUCCUCCCAGAGACUGUGCUCUGCUUUCAGACAUGGUUUCUUACAGGGCAUUCUCAGUCCGUCUCAGAAGAGAUGCUUAGCACUCUCCAGGAAUGAAUACGCAUAAGGAGGACUUGGUCUUCUCUGGAUGGAACCUUGUUUAUUCAAUUCCAUACUCCACAUGGGGCUUGAGAGACUGUGAGAAGGGAUGCGAGGGGCGUGGGGCUACCAAUAAGUGGGACCUUAGUACCAGAAGCAGCGCUUUCGAGAACCUCCUAACGCAGCCAACUUCCUGGUGUGGUAACACCUGCGUUUUCAGAGCAGAGAAAAUACAGCAGCCCUACAUGUGGUUAACUGGAUACGAUCAGGACACUUCAGCUUUCAAAACCAAGUUGGACCCCAGGAACAUGCUUUUAUUUGACCUGUUCAUCGUCAUCGAUUGUCCUCUGGCUGCAGGCCUCUCUACUGCUGGGAGUCGGCUCUCGGCACGCCAAUCAGUGCACUCACUGGCAAGGAGUUUUACUUCUCAGUUAGCGCAGUUCAGCAGUGGCUGGCAGAUGCUGGCAGUGGAAUGCCACCAUGCGUGUAAGUGAUGCAGCUGCUGCCCCCACUCCUAAGGAACAGAGCCAUAGAGAGCCUCGCCUGGUCCCAGAGCUGUCCUUCUCACACUGUAUAUAGAGGAGCUGUGGACCACGGAGGCCAGUGAAGACCUUUCUCUCUUUCUUUAGACUUGGGGUUUUUAAAAUUAUUUUUAUUUUUUAAUUUUCUUAUGGAAGAUUCACCCUGAGUGAACAUCAGUGCCAAUCUUCCUCUACUUUUUAGUAUGUGGGCUGCCAGCACAGCAUGGCCACUAACAGAGUGGUGUAGGUCUGCGCCCAGGAACUGAACCCGAGCCACCAAAAAAAGCAGAGCGUGCUGAACUUAACCACUGGGCUACCCAGGCUGGCCCUUGAUCUGGGAUUUUAUAAAAGACACACCUGCCAAUUGUGGAAAGCUCAAUAGCCUGAAUGUGCCUCAAUCAAUUACCUCGCGAAGAUGCAGUACUUCAUCAUUUAUGACGCUUGUCACGACCAUCAUCGCUGUCCUUGAGUAUUAAUAUAAUGAGAGCAGUAUUAAGAAAGAGUUGAUGAGCACUGGAGCCACAUUUAUACUGCCUUGUUUUGUGACAGUUGAACAGGCUCUCUAAAGGGACAAUGGAGGAAUAAUAUGGCCCCAGAUGAUCCUGUCUGUCCUCUGUCCCUGAACGGUCAUUUUAGUAAGUUAAUUUACAAAAUGGCCAUUUGACAAAAUUUUAAACAAAAUAGUUGUAAUUUAAAGGCAUGCCUGAAAUUUGGGCUAUAGAUGGAGUCAAGUUUUUACUUCCAACGAUUCUGCGUAUGUUAGUUUUGCUUACAGUAAACACUCAAAAGAUUUUAUUAAGUGAAUGAUGUACUAAAUAUUGACUGACUAUUUGACUUUGCUCCUUGUAGGGUUGAUGCAAGGUAGACGUAAUACAAAACUCGAGCUCAGUCUUCUUAAUGUGGUGAAAAUGGCCAUUCUGUUAUUUCCAAUUUGCCAAGCGUGUUUUAUGGGCACACAGUGGGGUACACUCUGUUGGCUGUAUGUAAAAACCAUAUUUUGUUAAUUAGAGGCCUAUAAUAAACCACUCAUUUUUAUGGCAUGUGAGUCCACUUGAUUCAGAAAGCUUGGCAUCUGGCUCUGAUUAUGUCUCCUGGUGUGGCUGUGGGACUUCCUUCAUGCCUCUUCCCUCACCUGUUUGGGGAGAGUUAGGAUGGAAACUUGACUUCUGCAGAGAAAAGGUGAAAAGGGAGAUUUUGAUCAUUUUAAACAUGGUUAUACGGGAUGAACACAGCAAGAUGGACAAAUCUGCACGGCAUCAGGACCCUGUGGAAGAUUUUCAGGGCUUGCAAGAUUUGACUAUUUCUUUUUUUUUCUAUUUGUGGAAAAUAUCAAACUAUAAGCUACCUCAAAUUCUUUAUGGAAUGAGGCAGAGUAUAAAUAAAAUAUACUAUGUGUACAG
RNAcentral lists this long non-coding RNA (2575 nucleotides) under Equus caballus (horse). RNAcentral's name for it is "lncRNA (ENSECAG00000055670.1)". Lineage: Eukaryota; Metazoa; Chordata; Mammalia; Perissodactyla; Equidae. The record is from RNAcentral.